UUUGGGGUCCCAGAGAGUAUUUUGGGGCACUGAGGUGCUGUUUGGGGGUCCCCAGGGGGAUUUUGGGGCAUGAAGGUGCUGUUUGGGGGUCCCCAGGGGUUUUUUGGGGUCCCAGAGAGUAUUUUGGGGCACUGAGGUGCUGUUUGGGGGUCCCCAGGGGUAUUUUGGGGCAUGAAGGUGCUGUUUUGGGGUCCCCAGGGGUUUUUUGGGGUCCCAGAGAGUAUUUUGGGGCACUGAGGUGCUGUUUGGGGGUCCCCAGGGGUAUUUUGGGGCAUGAAGGUGCUGUUUUGGGGUCCCCAGGGGUUUUUUGGGGUCCCAGAGAGUAUUUUGGGGCACUGAGGUGCUGUUUGGGGGUCCCCAGGGGUAUUUUGGGGCAUGAAGGUGCUGUUUUGGGGUCCCGGGGGGUAAUUUUGCCCCUUCCCGCCGCAGGUACUACACCUUCGACGAGGCCUUCGCCCGGGAGGUGCUGGGCAAGAAGCUCUCCAAGGGCACCAAGAAGGACCUGGACGACAUCAGCGCCAAGACGGGCGUCAGCCUCAAGAGCUGCCGCCGCCAGGUGGGACCGGCCCCGAAACGGGCCGAGACCACCCGCAACGGGCCGAAUCUGCCCAAAAUGGGACGAAUCCACCCCAAAAUGGGCCAGAUCCGCCCCAAAACGGGCCAAGACCACCCGGAAUGGGCCGGAUCUGCCCCGAAACGGGCUGAGACCACCCAGAAACGGGCUGAGACCACCUGGAACCGGCCAAAUCCGCCCUGGAACAGGCCGAGACCACCCCGGAACGGGCCAGAUCCACCCCAAAACAGGCCUAGACCGCCCAGAAUGGGCCAAAUCUGCCCCAAAAUGGGCCGGAUCUCUCCGGAACAGGCCAAGACCACCCAGAACGGGCAAGAGCUGCCCGGAACGGGCCAAAUCUGCCCCGGAACAGGCCAAAUCGGCUGGAUCCCCAAAACGGGCUGGAUCCGCCCCAAAACAGGCCAAGACCACCCAGAACGGGCUGAAUCCACCCGGAAUGGGCCCAAUCUGCCUGAAACAGGCUGAAUCUGCCCCAAAAUGGGCCGAGACCACCCGUAACCGGCCAAAUCCACCCUGGAACAGGCUGUGACCGCCCCGAAAUGGGCCAGUUCUGCCCCAAAACAGGCCAAGACCACCCGGAAUGGGCCGAAUCGGCCCAAAAUGGGCCGGAUCCGCCCCAAAACAGGCCAAGACCACCCAGAACGGGCUGAAUCCACCCGGAAUGGGCCCAAUGAGCCUGAAACAGGCUGAAUCUGCCCCAAAAUGGGCCGAGACCACCCGUAACCGGCCAAAUCCACCCUGGAACAGGCUGUGACCGCCCCGAAAUGGGCCAGUUCUGCCCCAAAACAGGCCAAGACCACCCAGAA
RNAcentral lists this long non-coding RNA (1380 nucleotides) under Struthio camelus australis. RNAcentral's name for it is "lncRNA (ENSSCUG00000000111.1)". The record is from RNAcentral. Lineage: Eukaryota; Metazoa; Chordata; Aves; Struthioniformes; Struthionidae.